ACCCGCGUCCUCUGUUGCAACCAGUUUUGUGCUGGGCCAACUGAGGAGACCGCCACUGAUAAAGUGGAGGAAGGAGCGGGCCACGGCAGGUCAGUAUGCCCCGAACCUCCCGGGCCACACGCGAGCUGCAAUGGCAGGGUUACAAUGGUUCCGACCUCGAAAGGGGGAGGCAAUCUCGAAAGCCUGCCGUAGUUGGAAUCGAGGGUUGAAACCCACCCUCGUGAACAUGGAAUCCCUAGUAAUCGCGUGUCACUAGCGCGCGGUGAAUAC
Molecule: ribosomal RNA, 270 nt
Filed under: unidentified archaeon
Lineage: Archaea
Description: 16S ribosomal RNA
Rfam family: Archaeal small subunit ribosomal RNA
Source: RNAcentral